GUGGGGAAUAUUGGACAAUGGGCGGAAGCCUGAUCCAGCCAUGCCGCGUGUGUGAAGAAGGCCUUUUGGUUGUAAAGCACUUUAAGCGAGGAGGAGGCUCUUAAGGUUAAUACCCUUGAUGAGUGGACGUUACUCGCAGAAUAAGCACCGGCUAACUCUGUGCCAGCAGCCGCGGUAAUACAGAGGGUGCGAGCGUUAAUCGGAUUUACUGGGCGUAAAGCGUGCGUAGGCGGCUGAUUAAGUCGGAUGUGAAAUCCCUGAGCUUAACUUAGGAAUUGCAUUCGAUACUGGUCAGCUAGAGUAUGGGAGAGGAUGGUAGAAUUCCAGGUGUAGCGGUGAAAUGCGUAGAGAUCUGGAGGAAUACCGAUGGCGAAGGCAGCCAUCUGGCCUAAUACUGACGCUGAGGUACGAAAGCAUGGGGAGCAAACAGGAUUAGAUACCCCAGUAGUCC
This 451-nucleotide ribosomal RNA is filed under the name uncultured bacterium. RNAcentral describes it as "partial 16S ribosomal RNA". It matches the Rfam family "Bacterial small subunit ribosomal RNA", at positions 354 to 796 of the family's 1533-position model. The record is from RNAcentral.